GAUGAACGCUGGCGGCGUGCCUAAUACAUGCAAGUCGAGCGAACGGACGAGAAGCUUGCUUCUCUGAUGUUAGCGGCGGACGGGCGAGUAACACGUGGAUAACCUACCUAUAAGACUGGGAUAACUUCGGGAAACCGGAGCUAAUACCGGAUAAUAUUAUGAACCGCAUGGUUCAAAAGUGAAAGACGGUCUUGCUGUCACUUAUAGAUGGAUCCGCGCUGCAUUAGCUAGUUGGUAAGGUAACGGCUUACCAAGGCAACGAUGCAUAGCCGACCUGAGAGGGUGAUCGGCCACACUGGAACUGAGACACGGUCCAGACUCCUACGGGAGGCAGCAGUAGGGAAUCUUCCGCAAUGGGCGAAAGCCUGACGGAGCAACGCCGCGUGAGUGAUGAAGGUCUUCGGAUCGUAAAACUCUGUUAUUAGGGAAGAACAUAUGUGUAAGUAACUGUGCACAUCUUGACGGUACCUAAUCAGAAAGCCACGGCUAACUACGUG
Molecule: ribosomal RNA, 497 nt
Filed under: uncultured bacterium
Lineage: Bacteria
Description: partial 16S ribosomal RNA
Rfam family: Bacterial small subunit ribosomal RNA
Source: RNAcentral